Dendrobium catenatum is the source of this 307-nucleotide long non-coding RNA. RefSeq lists it as uncharacterized. The record is from RefSeq and is a predicted model, not a curated record. Lineage: Eukaryota; Viridiplantae; Streptophyta; Magnoliopsida; Asparagales; Orchidaceae. The transcript is spliced from 3 exons.
GGAAAAAUGACAGAGCAACGGUGUUUAAAGUCCAGCCUUGUGAAAAAACAAUAAAAGAAGAGCAGAAGGAAGCAAUUGAUGAAAAGAUUCUUCUACCUAAGUCAGGAAAAAAUCACAGGAAAAGGAGAAAAUCAAUCGCUCCGUUACCCAAAGCAUGUGAAGUUCAAGGUUCUGAAUCAGCCGAUGGAUCCAGUUUUAUUGGAUUGGGUGCUUCUAAUAGCAGUCGGUAUGAUAGUUCCCUAAGUUUGCUGACAAAGAAGUUUCUCAAUUUGCUUUUGGAGGCUGGUGAUGGCACUCUUGAUCUGAA